This 253-nucleotide ribosomal RNA is filed under the name uncultured bacterium. RNAcentral describes it as "partial 16S ribosomal RNA". It matches the Rfam family "Bacterial small subunit ribosomal RNA", at positions 524 to 776 of the family's 1533-position model. The record is from RNAcentral.
UACGGAGGGGGCCAGCGUUGUUCGGAAUCAUUGGGCGUAAAGAGCUCGUAGGCGGUUUGUUGCGUCGGCUGUGAAAUCCCGAGGCUCAACCUCGGGUCUGCAGUCGAUACGAGCAAACUAGAGUGUUGCAGGGGAGACUGGAAUUCCUGGUGUAGCGGUGAAAUGCGCAGAUAUCAGGAGGAACACCGGUGGCGAAGGCGGGUCUCUGGGCAACAACUGACGCUGAGGAGCGAAAGCGUGGGGAGCGAACAGG